Molecule: ribosomal RNA, 254 nt
Filed under: uncultured prokaryote
Description: partial 16S ribosomal RNA
Rfam family: Bacterial small subunit ribosomal RNA
Source: RNAcentral
UACGUAGGGUGCAAGCGUAGUCCGGAAUUAUUGGGCGUAAAGAGCUCGUAGGCGGUCUGUCGCGUCGGCUGUGAAAACUCGGGGCUCAACUCCGAGCUUGCAGUCGAUACGGGCAGGCUAGAGUUCGGUAGGGGAGACUGGAAUUCCUGGUGUAGCGGUGAAAUGCGCAGAUAUCAGGAGGAACACCGGUGGCGAAGGCGGGUCUCUGGGCCGAUACUGACGCUGAGGAGCGAAAGCGUGGGGAGCGAACAGGA